GCUCUUCCGAUCUGGCGUGACGACGAGGCACUACGGUGCUGAAGCAACAAAUGCCCUGCUUCCAGGAAAAGCCUCUAAGCAUCAGGUAACAUCAAAUCGUACCCCAAACCGACACAGGUGGUCAGGUAGAGAAUACCAAGGCGCUUGAGAGAACUCGGGUGAAGGAACUAGGCAAAAUGGUGCCGUAACUUCGGGAGAAGGCACGCUGACACGUAGGUGAAGUGAUUUACUCAUGGAGCUGAAGUCAGUCGAAGAUACCAGCUGGCUGCAACUGUUUAUUAAAAACACAGCACUGUGCAAACACGAAAGUGGACGUAUACGGUGUGACGCCUGCCCGGUGCCGGAAGGUUAAUUGAUGGGGUCAGCGCAAGCGAAGCUCCUGAUCGAAGCCCCGGUAAACGGCGGCCGUAACUAUAACGGUCCUAAGGUAGCGAAAUUCCUUGUCGGGUAAGUUCCGACCUGCACGAAUGGCGUAAUGAUGGCCAGGCUGUCUCCACCCGAGACUCAGUGAAAUUGAACUCGCUGUGAAGAUGCAGUGUACCCGCGGCAAGACGGAAAGACCCCGUGAACCUUUACUAUAGCUUGACACUGAACAUUGAGCCUUGAUGUGUAGGAUAGGUGGGAGGCUUUGAAGUGUGGACGCCAGUCUGCAUGGAGCCGACCUUGAAAUACCACCCUUUAAUGUUUGAUGUUCUAACGUGGACCCGUAAUCCGGGUUGCAGACAGUGUCUGGUGGGUAGUUUGACUGGGGCGGUCUCCUCCUAAAGAGUAACGGAGGAGCACGAAGGUUGGCUAAUCCUGGUCGGACAUCAGGAGGUUAGUGCAAUGGCAUAAGCCAGCUUGACUGCGAGCGUGACGGCGCGAGCAGGUGCGAAAGCAGGUCAUAGUGAUCCGGUGGUUCUGAAUGGAAGGGCCAUCGCUCAACGGAUAAAAGGUACUCCGGGGAUAACAGGCUGAUACCGCCCAAGAGUUCAUAUCGACGGCGGUGUUUGGCACCUCGAUGUCGGCUCAUCACAUCCUGGGGCUGAAGUAGGUCCCAAGGGUAUGGCUGUUCGCCAUUUAAAGUGGUACGCGAGCUGGGUUUAGAACGUCGUGAGACAGUUCGGUCCCUAUCUGCCGUGGGCGCUGGAGAACUGAGGGGGGCUGCUCCUAGUACGAGAGGACCGGAGUGGACGCAUCACUGGUGUUCGGGUUGUCAUGCCAAUGGCACUGCCCGGUAGCUAAAUGCGGAAGAGAUAAGUGCUGAAAGCAUCUAAGCACGAAACUUGCCCCGAGAUGAGUUCUCCCUGAGACUUAGAGUCUCCUGAAGGAACGUUGAAGACGACGACGUUGAUAGGCCGGGUGUGUAAGCGCAGCGAUGCGUUGAGCUAACCGGUACUAAUGAACCGUGAGGCUUAACCUU
RNAcentral lists this ribosomal RNA (1402 nucleotides) under Salmonella enterica. RNAcentral describes it as "bacterial LSU rRNA". It matches the Rfam family "Bacterial large subunit ribosomal RNA", at positions 1547 to 2925 of the family's 2925-position model. The record is from RNAcentral. Lineage: Bacteria; Pseudomonadati; Pseudomonadota; Gammaproteobacteria; Enterobacterales; Enterobacteriaceae.